CGAGGCCCAGAGACAGCUCUUGCCAGUGUGGAGGGAAGAUCUGUGAGGAGUUCUGGGAGGAGGCAAGAGCUUCAGAGACCUGAUUCUUUCAUGAAAUCCCUCAAGACACCCACCUAUUUGAGGAAUACAUGCCUGAGCUAGGAUCCACAUCUCUGUGACGGAGGACAGGAAUGGAGAAAAAUGGGAAUGACGAUAUAACAGCAACAGCCAUCACCACCGCAGCAGCAGCAAUAACAACAAUGUAAACCUCCGACUCCUCUGUGGGUCAGGCAGAUCUGAUAGGUUCCACCACUGACUUCUGGAGGGAGCUCUCACCUCACCCUGGGAGGACUUAUACGUAAACGUCACCAGUGCUUCAAGAUUUCACACAUUCACCACCAAGUCACCUGAGUGUCUCCCAUAGGCUAUCUCGACUGUUCUCAGUGUGACCCGGA
Molecule: long non-coding RNA, 434 nt
Organism: Mus caroli (Ryukyu mouse)
Lineage: Eukaryota; Metazoa; Chordata; Mammalia; Rodentia; Muridae
Source: RefSeq, a predicted model, not a curated record